UUUUUUUGCGGCUCUGCCAUUCACUCUCUCUUGCUUUACCGAUCCCGGCCUCGACCUCCAUCAAGGUCAACACCCCCUGUUCGCUGAUAUCAGGCUUAUCCAUCGAUCGCAAUCAACAUCAACAGAAUCUUAGUAAAAUUUAGCUUUCAUAAAAUCAGUUGAUUUCGUUUACCAUGUUAUCUACCUUUAUCUUUCUACACAGAUUGAUCAAUUUUUUCUUCUCUGUAAACCAUGUGUUUACAACUUCUUAUUCUUUCUGAUCUCGAAAAUUUUGUUCCUUAUGAUAGUAUUUGUUUUUGUUUUUCAAGAAUUGGGAAACUGAAAUUUUGUUAUUAAUCUGACAAAAUAGAGUUACAGUAGAAAUAAACCGAAGAAACUUGAUUUCUAAUGAAACUCUGUUUUACCUAUUAUUCUAUUAAUUUUUAUGUACUACGGCUUCUAUUAGAUUAUUUAUUGUUCUCAAUUUUGAUCUGAUAUCAGUUUUUAUCUUCUACAGAUUCUGUUUGCUCUGCAAUUUCACAUCUAGGUGGUUAAUUACAACAAUUUCAAGUGAGUGCCCACAAACAUAGAGUUAUCUCUACUAAUUUUAUUGGUUUUCUAUUAAGGGAAAGAGAUACGUUGAGUCCGCAACUCUGAUCGUGACUCUUUGACAGCCCAUUAGCUUUGUCUCCGUCGAUAGUGCGAAGUUUUCAGAACUAGAAGGGGUGCUUUAUCUGCUUUCAACGUGCUGGCAACAGUGGCUCGGUUUUACUGGUAGUUGAUCGUUUGGCAGUAAACAGUGAUUAGUUCUGUACCUGCCUGGGAUUUAAGUGGAGAAACAGAGGAGGGACUGUGUUAUAGUCACUGAGCUUGCGAAGCCGCUGAUUGCCUACUACAUUUCGCACAGUUUAAAAGGCUGGAAAAGUGUUCUUUUACUGCAUCAGGCCACAGUUUGUGACGAUUACCUUGGUGUAAGGGCGAUUGAAUCCACUUUCUGCCUUGACAGCUCUCUUAUCUCCUGUCGCCAAAGCACUCUCUCUUUCUUUGUUAACUCUGUAAGAAAAGAAAUAGAAAUACGUUUUAGCUCAAAGUCUCAAACUUGCUACUGCUCAGUUUAAUCUUUUGAGGUACAAUUGGUAAAUCUGGAACUUUUCUUUGAAAUAGAUGUUGUGCUUGAUUUAAUGUAUGCAAUUGGGCCUGCAAAUUGUGUGCCAUUGCUUUGUGUAUUUCUCCUAUUUCAAGUCUUUAAUGAAGUCAGUGCUUGCAGAUCACUGCUGGUUAUGUAAAUAUUUGUACAACGAAUGUAUAAAUUUUAGCAAGUAAACAAACCCGCGGCAUCGCGCGGGAGGCAUUAUCUA
Long non-coding RNA from Rosa chinensis, 1337 nucleotides. RefSeq lists it as uncharacterized. The transcript has 5 exons. NCBI's taxonomy places the organism in Eukaryota, Viridiplantae, Streptophyta, Magnoliopsida, Rosales, Rosaceae. The record is from RefSeq and is a predicted model, not a curated record.